Molecule: ribosomal RNA, 425 nt
Filed under: uncultured bacterium
Lineage: Bacteria
Description: partial 16S ribosomal RNA
Rfam family: Bacterial small subunit ribosomal RNA
Source: RNAcentral
GUGGGGAAUCUUGCGCAAUGGGCGAAAGCCUGACGCAGCCAUGCCGCGUGAAUGAUGAAGGUCUUAGGAUUGUAAAAUUCUUUCACCGGGGACGAUAAUGACGGUACCCGGAGAAGAAGCCCCGGCUAACUUCGUGCCAGCAGCCGCGGUAAUACGAAGGGGGCUAGCGUUGCUCGGAAUUACUGGGCGUAAAGGGCGCGUAGGCGGACAGUUUAGUCAGAGGUGAAAGCCCAGGGCUCAACCUUGGAAUUGCCCUUGAUACUGGCUGUCUUGAGUACGGGAGAGGUGAGUGGAACUCCGAGUGUAGAGGUGAAAUUCGUAGAUAUUCGGAAGAACACCAGUGGCGAAGGCGACUCACUGGCCCGUUACUGACGCUGAGGCGCGAAAGCGUGGGGAGCAAACAGGAUUAGAUACCCUUGUAGUCC